AGAGAGAGACAUGCGCGCAUAUCAAUAAGCGGAGGAAAAGAAACUAACAAGGAUUCCCUUAGUAACGGCGAGUGAAGCGGGAAGAGCUCAAAUUUGAAAUCUUCAAGGUUCUACCUUGACGAAUUGUAGUUUAUAGAAGUGUUUUCUGUUAGUGGAGUGGCAAAAGUUCUUUGGAAUAGGACAUCAUAGAGGGUGAGAAUCCCGUAUUUGGUCAUUCCUCCUAGCGUUGUGAUACACUUUCAACGAGUCGGAUUGUUUGGGAAUGCAGUCCAAAAUGGGUGGUAAAUUUCAUCUAAAGCUAAAUAUUGGCGAGAGACCGAUAGCGAACAAGUACCGUGAGGGAAAGAUGAAAAGAACUUUGAAAAGAGAGUUAAACAGUACGUGAAAUUGUCAAAAGGGAAGCGUUUGACACCAGUGUUGUUUUUCCGAAAAUCAAUUACGAAUGUUUUGUUUUUGAGGAGUUAUGACUUCAUCAGGCUUACUGUACUUUCUUUCCUGAACUCUUUUAAUGCACUUUUCGGUUAACAAGUCAACAUCAAUUUCUUUUGUUGUAAAAGAGUCAUGAGGAAGGUGGCUUUCCUUUCGGAUGAAAGUGUUUAUAGCCUUGUGCUUCUGCAAUCGGAGAGAUUGAGGUCUGCAGCGUAGAUCCUUCGGGGUUAGAUACGUAGAUGCUAAGUUAUAGCUUUUUAUAGACAACUUGUUGACUAUAGUUAGUCAUGUAGCUUACUCGUUGACGCUAUUUUACCUACGCUUAGGAUGUUGAUAGUCACAGCGUGUAC
RNAcentral lists this ribosomal RNA (779 nucleotides) under uncultured Neocallimastigales. Its description in RNAcentral is "partial large subunit ribosomal RNA". It matches the Rfam family "Eukaryotic large subunit ribosomal RNA", at positions 23 to 644 of the family's 3401-position model. Lineage: Eukaryota; Fungi; Neocallimastigomycota; Neocallimastigomycetes; Neocallimastigales. The record is from RNAcentral.